Long non-coding RNA from Phyllopteryx taeniolatus (common seadragon), 3221 nucleotides. RefSeq lists it as uncharacterized. The record is from RefSeq and is a predicted model, not a curated record. The transcript has 3 exons. Lineage: Eukaryota; Metazoa; Chordata; Actinopteri; Syngnathiformes; Syngnathidae.
AAAUAUAUAUAUAUGAAAUUUUGCGGCAAAUUUUUACAAUGUAACUAAAAUUGUAAUCAUGGAAAAUUCCAACAGCAACAAAUUUAAUUGCACACUUUCUCCCGGGAAAGCAAUGGAUUACAAUUAAAUGCCUUUUGUAUUUAAUUUACAUAAUCUCAUUACACGUAAUUAGUUACUCCCCAACACUGCUGCUUCUAAUGUAUACAUACACUCACCAGCCACAAAAUGAUGUGCAUUAUCUCAUAAGAUCCAAACAACCGCUGUAUGAACUUUAUUGUAUUUACAAAGAUAAUAGCUUAAAACCAGAGCGAUACUGUAUUUAACAGUAUGUUUCUCAUUGUUGUGAAGAACUGCACUUCAUAUUUGUUUCUAAUAUUCGGAUACAUUUUUUGUCUACCUGGAGACAGAACAGGUAGAUGUGUAAUUGACAGCAAAAAAAAAAAACAGAAACAAAAAAAAUAUCACUUUGUACCUGUACUUAAAGGUCUAUAUUUUGACUAUUUAGACAUCCAUAGAGUGAAUCUCUAACAUGGAUUUAGUAGAAAAGCGUCAAUUUCAUUUAAAAAAACACCUCGAGUGUCCAGAAACCGGAGGAGCUGGAGAAAACCCACGCAGACAAGGGGAGAACAUGCAAACUCGCACAGGCGAGGCAGGAUUUGAAUCCGCGUCCUCAAAUGUACUAACCUGUCAUCCACCGUGCCACCCCUUGUGUUGACCCUUUGUGUGAAAUUAUUAAUAUUAUUAUUAUUACAAUUUCAAUAUUGUUUGUGACCUAAGAGACUUACUCUGAACACAUUUUCAUAACAGGGCCUGCUUAAUAACAGAAAUCUGCAUGGCUUUGUGUUUCUGUUGUCGCCUCUCAUACAGUAAAUAUGUGACGCAAAUUCCAAGAACUGUUUUUCUUCUUCACACUUUUCUUUCUUUUUGCUGCAGCAACAAUAACAACAGCCUCAGCAACUCAGAGGCACGUGUAAAAAAAGUGAGAUGUGCAAAAGAAAAUACACACACACACACACACACACAUGCACGCGCACACACGCACGCACGCACGCACACCGAGACAUGAUUGUAAGCGCAGCAUUGAGGUGGUGAAGACUCAGAGCUUCACGGUUGAAUUGAACCUUAAAUGAGAUUCAGUGUGAAUCUUACAUGCUGACCUCAGUGCUCGUUUCUGGGGAAACACACAUACACACACCCUAUUCUUUGAAAUCCUCCUCCAUAUUUGUGUUUUCACACUUAAUGGGAAAGACAAAACCACAUUUCUAAAAUCAGACCAAAGACUGGAAUGGGUUGACCUUGUUCAAAAUGCCUCUCAGGGACGGGAAAUUGAGAAAUCUCAACUAGCAACCAGUGGCUAGAAGUGUUUUAUUGCUCAAGUGCACUCAUCUCACUCUUUAGAUCAUGUCAACUGAUAAUUAGAGGAUCUGUAAUUUGUCUCUAUUUACUGACUUUAUACAGUCAUGACUCAGUAAAGCAUACUAGAUGUUUGCAAGUUGUGGUCCUUUGCAGGAACCUACAAGCUUCAAAUGACAUGGACAGAAAACAAACUAUUCUCCUUUGAAAUCAUGAAAGAUGAGCAGUUGCCUAUGUGGCCAAAUCAUCUUGAUUUGCAUUAGCAGCAAAAUUAUAAACUACAAAUAUGAACAAAUUAGAAAGGAGUUAAAAAAUAACACGGAAGGGAAAUACAAUAAUAAUAAUAAUAAUAAUUUAAACUAAUAUUAGAAUUUGUCAAGUAAUUUUUUUUCAUCCUGUCAAGGCCAGUUAUCAAAUUGUACACCAUCAUAGAUGCCCAGCUCCUGAAUGAACUGGUCGCCAGCCAAUCGCAGGGCACAUAUAAAAAAAAAAAAACAUUCGCACUCACAUUCACAUCUAUUGGCACUUUAGAGUCUUCAAUCAACCUACCAUGCAUAUUUUGGGAUGUGGGAGGAAACUGGAGAACCUGUAGAAAACCAACGCAGGCACGGGGAGAACAUGCAAACUUCACACAGGCGAGGAUGGAUUUGAACCUGGGUCCUUAGACCUUUAAGGCAGAUGUCCUAACCAGUCGUCCACCGUGCCAACAAUAGAUAAAUUUCCCUAUAGAAAAACACCCUGUGUUACAAAAGGUUUUUUUAAAACAAAAUCACUCUUAAAAAAAAGAAAUUCACUCUAACAAUGUUUUUUUUAAAAUCCUGCAAAGCAUAAAAGUAAAAUUAAAAAAAGUGUAAAUCCAUUCAUAAAAAUAUUUCUUCACAAAACUAGAUUAACUUGAUUGUUCUGAAAGAAUUUAUCGACAUGAACCGGUUUAUAUAAAAAUACCUGUACUGAACAAAGUCAUCUUUUUUCUUUUUUUAAAUUUUUGGCGAGAGUAUAAUUGCUAACACUCUUUUGAGAACACUCCUAAAUCAUUACUACAUUUGAACAUGAAGCCAUUGUGCUAAUGAUAUUGUGUGGUGUUUGUACCCGCUAAUCCACAGGCCAAUGAAUGACUGGCCAAGAGUAAAAAUGUCCGAGUCAGCAGGAGGGCAUCUCUGUCCAGGCAUAGAGCAGAACCAGACCAGUAAGCCUGCAGUGACUUCACAUUUGAUUGUUUCUGCUAACAACAAACCUGCUGCCUCGACUGUGAAAACAAAUCAUAAUAAAAAAUCAGCUGCAGAAAGAGGUAAGUGUGGACCAAGCUGAACGUUUCUGUUUAAAAUCAAGUUCAAUUGCGCAGUGAUGACAACCAGAAAGGAAGCCAGAAUGGCAGAGGACUGUCUGGGAGAACAUUCAAAGACACAGUGGGAGCAACAGGAAGAACUUCUCCUAACAGCCUGGAAAAGCAUGUCUUCUGCUCUACAACAGCAGACUUUGUGUGAGGACCCCAGACCUCCAGACUCGGCCCAGUCCUUCCUGUCCAGACAGAGGCAAUCAUCCCGCCGCAAGAGAGUAUUGCAUCCGAGGUAGAGGCGUUCAUCUUCCUCUUGAUACGCAUGGAAGUGAGACAUCCCUUUUGGUUCGAUGCAACACACUUCUUCUUCUGUCUUCUUUUGGCCUACUCAUGAACACUAAGGAAAUCAAGCAUGGUCUGUAUUUUUAUGGACAUGUAUUUAUUUCUUUUCCACUGUGGUGUUAUUGCCCUCUGCUGGCAAAUGAUGUAAUUUAUCAUACUUCCUGUCGGCUGUGUUGUUAUGAAAAGAAAUGCACCACAUGCUAUAAAUAAAUUGUUCUAAAAUGUAUCGUGGGAAACGAUGCAAAAUGAC